Molecule: ribosomal RNA, 497 nt
Filed under: uncultured bacterium
Lineage: Bacteria
Description: partial 16S ribosomal RNA
Rfam family: Bacterial small subunit ribosomal RNA
Source: RNAcentral
GAUGAACGCUGGCGGCGUGCCUAAUACAUGCAAGUCGAGCGAACAGACGAGGAGCUUGCUCCUCUGACGUUAGCGGCGGACGGGUGAGUAACACGUGGAUAACCUACCUAUAAGACUGGGAUAACUUCGGGAAACCGGAGCUAAUACCGGAUAAUAUCUUGAACCGCAUGGUUCAAUAGUGAAAGACGGUUUUGCUGUCACUUAUAGAUGGAUCCGCGCCGCAUUAGCUAGUUGGUAAGGUAACGGCUUACCAAGGCAACGAUGCGUAGCCGACCGGAGAGGGUGACCGGCCACACUGGAACUGAGACACGGUCCAGCCUCCUACGGGAGGCAGCAGUAGGGAAUCUUCCGCAAUGGGCGAAAGCCUGACGGAGCAACGCCGCGUGAGUGAUGAAGGUCUUCGGAUCGUAAAACUCUGUUAUUAGGAAAGAACAAAUGUGUAAGUAACUAUGCACGUCGUGACGGUACCUAAUCAGAAAGCCACGGCUAACUACGUG